AUUCGAGGAUUAGUCUUUGUUCAGUGCUAACGUACGCAUACAUAUGUUUCCGUUGCCUUUGUUUUUUAUAAUUAAGACUCGGUUUUUGAUUUUGGUUUUGUGAGGUGGCUAUCUUCUUCGUUCAUAUUCUUCUUCUUACGUAGUAAUUAACAGCUUUAUAAAAAUCCUUACAAGCAUGUAAAUUAACGUCCCAGAUCCAUUUUCUUCUCCUUAAUUAUAAAAAAGAUUUUAAUCGAUAGAUAAGUUUUCAUUCAUUUGUGUCUCUGGUUUUAAUUUGUGUUUGGUGAAACUAGUACUGGCAAAACUUGAAGCAACAAGUGUAAACCCAAAUUUAUAAACGUCAAAUCAUGUAAAAUUCGUCUCUAUUAAAUUUAUCUUCCUC
This 382-nucleotide long non-coding RNA is filed under the name Brassica napus (rape). RNAcentral's name for it is "long non-coding RNA (BNAP_LNC006093)". The record is from RNAcentral. Lineage: Eukaryota; Viridiplantae; Streptophyta; Magnoliopsida; Brassicales; Brassicaceae.